This 265-nucleotide ribosomal RNA is filed under the name uncultured bacterium. RNAcentral's name for it is "partial small subunit ribosomal RNA". It matches the Rfam family "Bacterial small subunit ribosomal RNA", at positions 26 to 285 of the family's 1533-position model. The record is from RNAcentral.
AGGACUAACGCUGGCGGCGUGCCUAACACAUGCAAGUCGAACGGACACCACUUUGUAGCAAUACAGAUGAAGUGUUAGUGGCGGACGGGUGAGUAACACGUGGGCAACCUGCCCCUAGCACUGGGAUAACUCCGGGAAACCGGGGCUAAUACCGGAUAUGACCUUCGAGGGCAUCCUCUUUGGUGUAAAGGAUUCUGGCUAGGGAUGGGCCCGCGGCCUAUCAGCUUGUUGGUGGGGUAAUGGCCUACCAAGGCGACGACGGGUA